This is a long non-coding RNA of Hibiscus syriacus, 2585 nucleotides long. RefSeq lists it as uncharacterized. NCBI's taxonomy places the organism in Eukaryota, Viridiplantae, Streptophyta, Magnoliopsida, Malvales, Malvaceae. The transcript is spliced from 3 exons. The record is from RefSeq and is a predicted model, not a curated record.
UCCUUUCGCGGCGUAAAGUAGCAAGGAAGUUAUCUUCGCGGCCGAGCAAUCAAACAAACAACCUGGAAGGAGCAAUCUCCUAACCGUGUCGAACGUGAAUUUAUAUCAGAUCGGAUCAUCGUAGCCUCCGUCAAAUCGUCUUCGGACUGUUUUCGUAGUAUUGAUCCAACAUGAGUUUUCUCUUUGGCCGGAGAAAAACUCCAGCAGGAAAAGGCAAAGAGGAACCUGUUUCGGAGUUGCCUUGUUCAAUUUCACCAAGGUGCUCCUAUCGAUGAAGAGUACCAGUCAAGAACAUAAUACAUACCACAUACAACAGUUAGCUAUAAGAAUGAAGUUUCAAGUUGAAAAUACAAUAGAGAAUGCAGAUUUUACAUUUUAAGAAGAAAUCCAGUAAAUGAGCAUGCACAAGGAAGUUGCUAACUCUGCUUUUUGCUUGGCGAAGGCAAAGAGGAACCUGUUUCGGAGUUGCCGUGUUCAGCUUCACCAGGGUGCUCCCAUAGAUUCCUGUCUAACAUGUCGUCGCUGCAUGGUGUGCUCAUCCCAUGGGUGCUCUUGAAACCUACUUCUGGGUCCUCCAAUAUCUGUCGCAACAGUUCCCACUCGUCUGUCAGAAUAAACAUUGGUGUCAGAAGGUUAGACUUUAAUGUUACAUUGACAAAACAAGAGAAGAUAUUGACACAAACCAUCAGAGUGGAAGUCUUGAGGGUCGUCUGUGAGAUAUCUAGUCAACUGCUGAUUAUUAUUCACUGGUGCUGAUGUUUGAAUCGGUUGUCUAGUCAGCUGCUGAUUGUUAUUCACCGGUGCUGAGUUUGUAUACGGAGCUAAUGCUUGAAUCGGUGGUUGUCUAGUCAACUGCUGAUUGUUAUUCACCGGUGCUGAUGCUUGAAUCAGUUGUCUAGCUAACUCUGGAUUGUUAUUCACCGGUGCUGAUGCUUGAAUCGGUUGUCUAGUCAUUUGUGGAUCGUUAUUCACUGGUGCUGAUGCUUGAAUCGGUUGUCUAGUCAACUGCUGAUUGUUAUUCACCGGUGCUGAACUUGCAUAUGGAACUGAUUCUUGAAUCAGUUGUCUAGCUAACUCUGGAUUGUUAUCCACUGGUGCUGAUGCUUGAAUCGGUUGUCGUGUCAACUGCUGAUUGUUAUUCACCGGUGCUGAACUUGUAUACAGAGCUGAUGCUUGAAUUAGUUGUCUAGCUAACUCUGGAUUGUUAUUCAAUAGUGCUGAUGCUUGAAUUAGUUGUCUAGCUAACUCUGGAUUGUUAUUCAAUAGUCCUGAUGCUUGAAUCUGUUGUCUAGUCAACUGCUGAUUGUUAUUUACUGGUGCUGGAUUUGUAUACAGAGCUAAUGCUUGUCUAAUCAACCGUUGAUUGUUAUUCACCGAUGCUGAUGCUUGAAUUGGUUGUCCAGCCAACUGCAGAUUGCUAUUCAUUGUUGAUGAUGCUUGGAUCGGUUGUCUAAUCAACUGUGGAUUGCUAUUCACUGGUGUUGAACUCACAUUCGGAGCUGAUGCUUGAAUCCGUUGUGAUGGAUAUUGUUCUUCCCUCAAACUCGACACAAUACUCGCCAUUUCGGAUAAACUAAAAGGAGAAUCUGCCAAAAAGAGACAUGAAACUGAGGCCGGCAGGAGAGCCAGACAAUAGCUAACCAAAGAAUUCAAAAAGGAGUUUGUAAAUACUCACGAAGUAGGAAACCGCAGAGCAAGUAUUCUACGUCAUACAACAGCCAUUUAAACAGCCGAAGAAACGAAGAGCUGCUUAUACUUUCAGUCAUCUUACCACAAAUAUGCCACCUCUAGAAGUGACUUCGGUGAAGAUUCGCUGCAGGUUCAGUUCUUUUCCCCGGAACAUCGGAACUCUGAUUUGCACAAAGGAAAUGGAAGUUAGUAAAAUCAAGCACACAGUGAAACAAGAACAAAAUGGUGAAAGAACAAGCUGCAAGAGGCUUACCGGCAAGGUUUGUUUUUCGCAAUCGAUAGAGAUCGCACAAGUGAAUAAAAGUGAUGGGGAUUUCUCAAUGCAUGUUCAUAUUGAUUACGAUGGCUGUCCGGUACAUUUACGACGUUCGAGGAGAUUGUUGAAGGAUGACGCGGCAAAGGGUUCCGUUCUGUAGCCCGAUGGAGCUGAUAGCAGUGAUCGCAUUGAACAGUUCGGUUCAUGAAAAUCAUGCAAUAUUCCUUCUCUGCAUUGCACGAAGGGCAAGCAGCCAUGAACGAUUGUUGCUUUCCAACAGACGGGGGCAGGAAGAACGGUUGUUUGACCAUCGGAGAAGCCUGUCGCCGGAACAACAGGUUCUUUCCUUUUACCUCGGCCUCUGCUUUUUCUACGUUCUUUUUCCGGUUUAUCACCGCCUCCCAUUGGUCCCCGUAAUCUUUGCUUGAAAUCUUGCGUCCAAGAAACGAAGUAGAUGAGAAAAACUGAGAAAACAAUUGCUUACUCGAGAAACCCAGUUUGUUUAGAACAAAGAGAACGGAAAAGAUCAAACAAGAACAGGAAUCAAACCAGAUUAAGAAGAGCUGAAUUUGUUGGAACCAAAACAUAAUACACAUAAAAUCUAAUCAAGAUCUAAUAACAUUAAACCAUUUGACUCACU